UGCGUAGGUGGCUUGAAAAGUUUGAUGUGAAAUCUCCCGGCUCAACUGGGAGGGUGCGCCGAAUACUGAGCGACUAGAGUGCGGGAGAGGAAAGUGGAAUUCCUGGUGUAGCGGUGAAAUGCGUAGAUAUCAGGAGGAACACCGGUGGUGUAGACGGCUUUCUGGACCGUAACUGACGCUGAGACACGAAAGCGUGGGUAGCAAACA
This 207-nucleotide ribosomal RNA is filed under the name uncultured bacterium. RNAcentral describes it as "partial 16S ribosomal RNA". It matches the Rfam family "Bacterial small subunit ribosomal RNA", at positions 568 to 774 of the family's 1533-position model. The record is from RNAcentral.